RNAcentral lists this long non-coding RNA (205 nucleotides) under Elaeis guineensis (African oil palm). RNAcentral's name for it is "long non-coding RNA (EGUI_LNC036805)". The record is from RNAcentral. Lineage: Eukaryota; Viridiplantae; Streptophyta; Magnoliopsida; Arecales; Arecaceae.
AUUUGGAUUUAGUUCUUAGAGACGGUCUCUAUCAUUUGUAUAAUGAUGUAUAUGUGAACUUAAUUGAUCGAGUAAUGAAUGUCAUUGGAUCUGAGAGAUCCAGAAUUGAGAUAAAAUUUAAAGUAUAUGUGGACCCUUAUGGCUAAGUUAUAUUGGAGAAGAAAUAAUUAACAAACUGAAGAAUUAUGGACUUUUAGACUCAUUG